This is a long non-coding RNA of Glossina fuscipes, 361 nucleotides long. RefSeq lists it as uncharacterized. The record is from RefSeq and is a predicted model, not a curated record. Lineage: Eukaryota; Metazoa; Arthropoda; Insecta; Diptera; Glossinidae. The transcript has 3 exons.
ACGAAGUAGUAUUGUUCUGUUGCAAAAUAGCGUCCUGGUGCUCUAAAAUAAUGCCUUACCGGCAAUAAGUAAGCGAAACAUUGAAAACUAAAUACACAUAGUUUUCACGCAGUACUCAUCAAUGAAAUGAAAAGAUCGGUUAUAUACGAACCAGUAUUGUGCUGCUGCAAAAUUGCGUCCUGAUGCUUUGAAAUAACAUCCGACUGGCAAUAAGUAAGAGGAAAAUUGAAAAUUAAAUACACAUAGUUUUCACACAAUAAUCAUGAAUGAAACGGAGUGAUCGGUUAUAUACGAACCAGUAUUGUGCUGCUGCAAAAUUGCGUCCCGGUGCUUUGAACUAGCAUCCUACCGGCAGUAAGCA